AUGAUGCAACAAAUCUGGUCCGUUGAUCAAGCACAAGCUCUAGCCCUAAAGGCCGAGAGGUUUGUGAGGAUGAGAAAGACAACUAAGGCUCCAUAUCGUCCAUAUCCUCAUACCGAAGGCUCAUCUAGGAGCCAACCUAAUAGAGUGGAAGAAAAGACCACUCCACCAAAGACAAAACAGCCCAUCCCGAAGCAAACUAGAGGCAAGGGUAAGGCAAAUGAAGGUCCAAAGUGCUAUAAAUGUGGUAAAGAGGGACACAUAUCCAGCGGCUGCCCACUAAGGAAAUUUGUUAACACGACUAUCCAUGAUGGUGAAAGCGAUGAGGAAGAAUACGAAUCUGAAGAUGUAGACGGACAAGAGGUUUGUCAAGAAGAAGGUGAAGAGGUGGUAUGUGUGAUCCAGCGUGUCCUAUGUUCCACACCACAACUCGAUGACACACAACGGAAGAAAAUAUUUGAGAGCAAAUGCACGGUGAAUGGCAAGGUAUGCAAACUAGUGAUUGAUAGUUGCAGCUGCGAGAAUCUUAUCUCCCAGAAGUUGGUGGACCAUUUAAAGCUUGAAACCCAUGAUCAUCCAAAUCCCUACACUAUUGGAUGGAUCAAUAAAGGAGUGAAUAUGAGGAUCACCAAACAAUGCAACCUGCCACUUUCUUUGGGUAAGCAUUAUCGCUCAAAUGUGUUGUGUGAUGUGGUUGACAUGGAUGCCAGCCAUGUUCUUCUUGGGAGGCCUUGGCAAUUUGAUGUGGAUACUACACACAAGGGCAAGGAAAAUUCUUACUCUUUCAUUUGGAACAAGAGAAGGAUCAUUAUCUUACCAAACAAACCUGAAGGUAAUACCUCUAAGGAGGAGGGAAAAACUAUGUUAACUAUCUCCCAUACCUCUCAUGAGUUUAUGGAAGACUUGAAGGAGGCAGAUUUGUGUGCUGCACUUGUUGUAAAGGGAGAAGAGCACCUGACUGUUGAAAUUCCAGCAAAGGUACGUGGUUUAUUGGCAGAAUUUCAGAACAUACUUGGGGAGCCACAUGGCUUGCCACCGAUGAGAGGAAUUCAACAUAGAAUUGACUUAAUUUCGGGAGCAAGUCUUCCUAAUCUUCCACACUAUCGAAUGAGCCCAAAGGAGCAUGGUAUAUUGAAGGAGAAAGUGGAGGAAUUGUUGCAAAAGGGGCACAUUCGAGAAAGUAUUAGCCCAUGUGCUGUACCAGCCCUACUCGCGCCAUAG
Molecule: ribosomal RNA, 1218 nt
Filed under: Triticum aestivum (bread wheat)
Lineage: Eukaryota; Viridiplantae; Streptophyta; Magnoliopsida; Poales; Poaceae
Description: partial small subunit ribosomal RNA
Source: RNAcentral